UACGGAGGGUGCAAGCGUUAAUCGGAAUUACUGGGCGUAAAGGGUGCGUAGGUGGUUUAUUAAGUUAGGUGUAAAAUUCCUGGGCUUAACCUGGGCUUGAGACUUAAAACUGAUAGACUAGAGUAUAGGAGAGGGUAGUGGAAUUUCCGGUGUAGCGGUGAAAUGCGUAGAGAUCGGAAGGAACACCAGUGGCGAAGGCGGCUACCUGGCCAGAUACUGACACUGAAGCACGAAAGCGUGGGGAGCAAACAGG
RNAcentral lists this ribosomal RNA (253 nucleotides) under uncultured bacterium. RNAcentral's name for it is "partial 16S ribosomal RNA". It matches the Rfam family "Bacterial small subunit ribosomal RNA", at positions 524 to 776 of the family's 1533-position model. The record is from RNAcentral.